RNAcentral lists this ribosomal RNA (301 nucleotides) under uncultured bacterium. Its description in RNAcentral is "partial 16S ribosomal RNA". It matches the Rfam family "Bacterial small subunit ribosomal RNA", at positions 509 to 807 of the family's 1533-position model. The record is from RNAcentral.
CAGUCGCCGCGGGAAUACGAAGGGGGCUAGCGUUGUUCGGAAUUACUGGGCGUAAAGCGCACGUAGGCGGAUACUUAAGUCAGGGGUGAAAUCCCGGGGCUCAACCCCGGAACUGCCUUUGAUACUGGGUAUCUUGAGUCCGGAAGAGGUGGGUGGAAUUCCGAGUGUAGAGGUGAAAUUCGUAGAUAUUCGGAGGAACACCAGUGGCGAAGGCGGCUCACUGGUCCGGUACUGACGCUGAGGUGCGAAAGCGUGGGGAGCAAACAGGAUUAGAUACCCCUGUAGUCCCUGUCUCUUAUAC